This 279-nucleotide ribosomal RNA is filed under the name uncultured bacterium. RNAcentral's name for it is "partial 16S ribosomal RNA". It matches the Rfam family "Bacterial small subunit ribosomal RNA", at positions 506 to 784 of the family's 1533-position model. The record is from RNAcentral.
UGCCAGCAGCCGCGGUAAUACGGAGGGUCCGAGCGUUAUCCGGAAUCAUUGGGUUUAAAGGGUCCGUAGGCGGUUAGAUAAGUCAGUGGUGAAAGUUUUCGGCUCAACCGGAAAAAUGCCAUUGAUACUGUUUAACUUGAAUUAGUGUGAAGUAAUUAGAAUAAGUAGUGUAGCGGUGAAAUGCAUAGAUAUUACUUAGAAUACCGAUUGCGAAGGCAGGUUACUAACACUAUAUUGACGCUGAGGGACGAAAGCGUGGGGAGCGAACAGGAUUAGAUA